RNAcentral lists this transfer RNA (73 nucleotides) under Parcubacteria group bacterium CG2_30_44_11. Its description in RNAcentral is "tRNA-Thr". It matches the Rfam family "tRNA". From Rfam's summary of the family: Transfer RNA (tRNA) molecules are approximately 80 nucleotides in length. The record is from RNAcentral.
GCCACUUUAGCUCAGUUGGUAGAGCAACUCACUUGUAAUGAGUAGGUCUUCGGUUCGAGUCCGAAAAGUGGCU